RNAcentral lists this ribosomal RNA (457 nucleotides) under uncultured Latescibacterota bacterium. RNAcentral's name for it is "bacterial SSU rRNA". It matches the Rfam family "Bacterial small subunit ribosomal RNA", at positions 924 to 1382 of the family's 1533-position model. The record is from RNAcentral. Lineage: Bacteria; Pseudomonadati; Candidatus Latescibacterota.
CACAAGCGGUGGAGCAUGUGGUUCAAUUCGACGCAACGCGAAGAACCUUACCAGACUUGACAUGCACUAGACGAGUGUGGAAACACACUUUUCCUUCGGGACUGGUGCACAGGUGCUGCAUGGCUGUCGUCAGCUCGUGUCGUGAGAUGUUGGGUUAAGUCCCGCAACGAGCGCAACCCUUGUCCUUAGUUGCUAACGGGUAAAGCCGAGCACUCUAAGGAGACUGCCGGUGUCAAACCGGAGGAAGGUGGGGAUGACGUCAAGUCCUCAUGGCCUUUAUGACCAGGGCUACACACGUACUACAAUGGCCGGUACAAAGGGCAGCGACACAGCGAUGUGAAGCGAAUCCCGAAAAGCCGGUCUCAGUCCGGAUUGGAGUCUGCAACUCGACUCCAUGAAGUUGGAAUCGCUAGUAAUCGCGGAUCAGCACGCCGCGGUGAAUACGUUCCCGGGCCUU